GGGGGUGUACUGGCUUUCGACGGGAGGCAGGAGAUACUGAGCAGCAUGUCGAGGAGCAUCGGUUGGCCUCGUUAAUCAUCCGGUGAAAAUCAUAAUUGCCGAAGAUUAUUCUUACGCAAUGGCUGCCUAAUAAGGCGGCAACUCGAAUGUGGAGCGCACUUCUUUGCAUUUGAGCUAUUAAGGUGCUGGUCGGGAAGGGGGUGCCGAUUUCCCGAUAAGAUUCCGGCACUGGCCUUUUUGUAAGCGGGUCCGUUCGCGCACAAGAGGGUGAGAUUAAAAGGCGGGCUAAACAUGUAGCGGCUCAUAUUGAAUGGCUUUCGGACAGGGGUUCAACUCCCCUCACCUCCACCA
This 351-nucleotide transfer-messenger RNA is filed under the name Fibrobacter sp. It matches the Rfam family "transfer-messenger RNA". Rfam says of the family: Bacterial tmRNA, also known as 10Sa RNA or SsrA, is named for its dual tRNA and mRNA-like properties. Its role is to liberate the mRNA from a stalled ribosome. Lineage: Bacteria; Pseudomonadati; Fibrobacterota; Fibrobacteria; Fibrobacterales; Fibrobacteraceae. RNAcentral also lists the same sequence under 1 other name. The record is from RNAcentral.